UGACCCAAACAAAGGUAGUCAAAGAAAUAAAGUAUAUAAGCAUUAAAAAGAAAUUGUUCCUCUCCAAUGUGGGACUAAAACAAGAUAAAACUUUUAGAGAACUUUGGAGGGAAGAAAAAUUUUGAAUUUUUUAUCCUAAAUUUUAGCAAACUAAACCUAGCUCAACUCAGUUAUUUGACCCAACCUGAAUAAAUGAAUGAUCAUAGGGU
RNAcentral lists this long non-coding RNA (209 nucleotides) under Elaeis guineensis (African oil palm). RNAcentral describes it as "long non-coding RNA (EGUI_LNC078004)". The record is from RNAcentral. Lineage: Eukaryota; Viridiplantae; Streptophyta; Magnoliopsida; Arecales; Arecaceae.